This 849-nucleotide long non-coding RNA is filed under the name Sorghum bicolor (sorghum). RNAcentral's name for it is "long non-coding RNA (SBIC_LNC014067)". The record is from RNAcentral. Lineage: Eukaryota; Viridiplantae; Streptophyta; Magnoliopsida; Poales; Poaceae.
GUGGGAAGAGUACCUGAUCAAAAGUCUAAGUCAUUAAUGAAUAUGAUAUGGGAAGGUUGAGCUGCUGUUUAUCUGUUCCUAGAGAUGCUAGAAUUCUGGAGAAUUUUAUCUUUGAAAAUCUUUAAAAUAACACAUGAUGAGUUCCUGUAUGAUAAGAGUUUAAAUUCCUACCACAGUCAUACAUACAUGCUUAUUAGACUAAGAACCAUACAUUUACAUUUUACUGCUCAUGAGCAUCGAGUGUGGUCAAGCUAUGUAGACCCUUAGGAGCUUGUCAUGCGGUUAAAAUCAAGAUCCACUUGCACGUUCACUCCUACAUGCUACUUCUACUCUGGAAGUAUGCAUCCACAUACAUCCACUCAGUUCCAUAUCCAGAGCCACCCAAAAGUAUUCUACUCCUAAUCCGGGAGAGAAUAGCCAAAAACAUUCUCCUAUUUCUAUUUUUCCCUAUGAAAUAAAGGCUCGAGUUAUCUUGGUUACUACCACUUGCUAUAUUAUUUCAGGAGAUGAGUGCUCUAAAAAAAGAAGAAAUGAUACGAGGAAAUAAAAAGGGGCAAGUGCCCGGAACCUCGAAGAAAAGAAAACGUGAGACGAGAGGUAAAAAUGGACAAGUGUCCGACAGUAGAAUUAGGGGUACAAGAUACCCACCUAAGAGAAAAGAAAAAAAAUAAUAGAUCAUCUCAUUCUAGUCAAAACAGCUUCAAAGUGCAAGAAAGGUAUGUAUCCCCUAAAAAGAGCAAAUGUAGAAUUAGACUUUCACCAUUAUUAUCACCAUAAACCAUUUACUUGCCACACAUGCACAUCUUGAUUUGACUUAUUGACUUGUUCUUCUGGAUCCAUAGUUUGACU